RNAcentral lists this ribosomal RNA (468 nucleotides) under uncultured bacterium. RNAcentral's name for it is "partial 16S ribosomal RNA". It matches the Rfam family "Bacterial small subunit ribosomal RNA", at positions 28 to 507 of the family's 1533-position model. The record is from RNAcentral.
GACGAACGCUGGCGGCGUGCUUAACACAUGCAAGUCGAACGGACAGGCCCUGCUUUUGCGGGGUGCUCGAGUGGCGAACGGGUGAGUAACACGUGAGUAACCUGCCCUUGACUUUGGGAUAACUUCAGGAAACUGGGGCUAAUACCGGAUAGGAGCUCCUGCUGCAUGGUGGGGGUUGGAAAGUUUCGGCGGUGGUGGCUGGACUCGCGGCUUAUCAGCUUGUUGGUGGGGUAGUGGCUUACCAAGGCUUUGACGGGUAGCCGGCCUGAGAGGGUGACCGGCCACAUUGGGACUGCGGUACGGCCCAGAAUCCAACGGGAGGCAGCAGUGGGGAAUAUUACACAAUGGGCGGAAGCCUGAUGCAGCAACGCCGCGUGCGGGAUGACGGCCUUCGGGUUGUAAACCGCUUUCGCCUGUGACGAAGCGUGAGUGACGGUAAUGGGUAAAGAAGCACCGGCUAACUACGUG